AUUGAACGCUGGCGGAAUGCUUUACACAUGCAAGUCGAACGGCAGCACGGGGGCAACCCUGGUGGCGAGUGGCGAACGGGUGAGUAAUGUAUCGGAACGUGCCCAGUCGUGGGGGAUAACGUAGUGAAAAUUACGCUAAUACCGCAUACGAUCUAUGGAUGAAAGCGGGGGAUCGCAAGACCUCGCGCGAUUGGAGCGGCCGAUAUCAGAUUAGGUAGUUGGUGGGGUAAAGGCCCACCAAGCCAACGAUCUGUAGCUGGUCUGAGAGGACGACCAGCCACACUGGAACUGAGACACGGUCCAGACUCCUACGGGAGGCAGCAGUGGGGAAUUUUGGACAAUGGGCGAAAGCCUGAUCCAGCCAUUCCGCGUGCAGGAUGAAGGCCCUCGGGUUGUAAACUGCUUUUGUACAGAACGAAAAGGUUUCUACUAAUACUAGGAGCUCAUGACGGUACUGUAAGAAUAAGCACCGGCUAACUACGUGCCAGCAGCCGCCGCAG
This 500-nucleotide ribosomal RNA is filed under the name uncultured bacterium. Its description in RNAcentral is "partial 16S ribosomal RNA". It matches the Rfam family "Bacterial small subunit ribosomal RNA", at positions 30 to 523 of the family's 1533-position model. The record is from RNAcentral.